UACGAAGGUGGCUAGCGUUGUUCGGAAUUACUGGGCGUAAAGCGCACGUAGGCGGAUUUGUUAGUCAGGGGUGAAAUCCCGGGGCUCAACCUCGGAACUGCCUUUGAUACUGCAAAUCUCGAGUCCGGAAGAGGUGAGUGGAAUUCCUAGUGUAGAGGUGAAAUUCGUAGAUAUUAGGAAGAACACUAGUGGCGAAGGCGGCUCACUGGUCCGGCACUGACGCUGAGGUGCGAAAGCGUGGGGAGCAAACAGG
RNAcentral lists this ribosomal RNA (253 nucleotides) under uncultured bacterium. RNAcentral's name for it is "partial 16S ribosomal RNA". It matches the Rfam family "Bacterial small subunit ribosomal RNA", at positions 524 to 776 of the family's 1533-position model. The record is from RNAcentral.